GCUGGGCGCGGUGGCUCACGCCUGUAAUCCCAGCACUUUGGGAGGCUGAGGCGGGUGGAUCACUUGAGGUCAGGAGUUCAAGACCAGCCUGGCCAACAUGGUGAAACCCCGUCUCUA
Molecule: unclassified non-coding RNA, 117 nt
Organism: Macaca fascicularis (crab-eating macaque)
Lineage: Eukaryota; Metazoa; Chordata; Mammalia; Primates; Cercopithecidae
Rfam family: Metazoan signal recognition particle RNA
About the family: The signal recognition particle (SRP) is a universally conserved ribonucleoprotein. It is involved in the co-translational targeting of proteins to membranes.
Source: Ensembl